AUAGGCACCAAGCGUUGUCCGGAUUUAUUGGGCGUAAAGAGCUCGUAGGCGGUUCGGUAAGUCGGGUGUGAAAACUUUGGGCUCAACCCAAAGCCUGCAUCCGAUACUGCUGUGACUAGAGUUCGGUAGGGGAGCGGGGAAUUCCUAGUGUAGCGGUGAAAUGCGCAGAUAUUAGGAGGAACACCGGUGGCGAAGGCGCCGCUCUGGGCCGAUACUGACGCUGAGGAGCGAAAGCGUGGGUAGCAAACAGGAUUAGAUACCCUGGUAGUCCACGCCGUAAACGUUGGGCACUAGGUGUGGGUUCCAACCAACGGAAUCCGCGCCGUCGCUAACGCAUUAAGUGCCCCGCCUGGGGAGUACGAUCGCAAGAUUA
RNAcentral lists this ribosomal RNA (373 nucleotides) under uncultured bacterium. RNAcentral describes it as "bacterial SSU rRNA". It matches the Rfam family "Bacterial small subunit ribosomal RNA", at positions 527 to 896 of the family's 1533-position model. The record is from RNAcentral.